GACGUAGGGCGCAAGCGUUGUCCGGAAUUACUGGGCGGUAAAGAGCUCGUAGGUGGUUUGUCGCGUUGUUCGUGAAACUCACAGCUUAACUGUGGGCGUGCGGGCGAUACGGGCAGACUGGAGUACUGCAGGGGAGACUGGAAUUCCUGGUGUAGCGGUGGAAUGCGCAGAUAUCAGGAGGAACACCGGUGGCGAAGGCGGGUCUCUGGGCAGUAACUGACGCUGGAGGAGCGAAAGCGUGG
Molecule: ribosomal RNA, 242 nt
Filed under: uncultured bacterium
Lineage: Bacteria
Description: partial 16S ribosomal RNA
Rfam family: Bacterial small subunit ribosomal RNA
Source: RNAcentral